GGGGGCUUAGCUCAGCUGGGAGAGCGCCUGGGGCUUUGCACGCAGGAGGUCAGCGGUUCGAUCCCGCUAGUCUCCACCA
RNAcentral lists this transfer RNA (79 nucleotides) under Staphylococcus pseudintermedius. RNAcentral describes it as "tRNA-Ala". It matches the Rfam family "tRNA". Rfam says of the family: Transfer RNA (tRNA) molecules are approximately 80 nucleotides in length. Their secondary structure includes four short double-helical elements and three loops (D, anti-codon, and T loops). The record is from RNAcentral. Lineage: Bacteria; Bacillati; Bacillota; Bacilli; Caryophanales; Staphylococcaceae.